This 159-nucleotide ribosomal RNA is filed under the name uncultured Bacillus sp. RNAcentral describes it as "partial 16S ribosomal RNA". It matches the Rfam family "Bacterial small subunit ribosomal RNA", at positions 333 to 484 of the family's 1533-position model. Lineage: Bacteria; Bacillati; Bacillota; Bacilli; Caryophanales; Bacillaceae. The record is from RNAcentral.
CUACUCCUACGGGAGGCAGCAGUAGGGAAUCUUCCGCAAUGGACGAAAGUCUGACGGAGCAACGCCGCGUGAGUGAUGAAGGCUUUCGGGUCGUAAAACUCUGUUGUUAGGGAAGAACAAGUGCUAGUUGAAUAAGCUGGCACCUGACGGACCCUGCCA